CCUACGGGUGGCAGCAGUCGAGAAUCAUUCACAAUGGGGGAAACCCUGAUGGUGCGACGCCGCGUGGGGGAAUGAAGGUCUUCGGAUUGUAAACCCCUGUCAUGUGGGAGCAAAUUAAAAAGAUAGUACCACAAGAGGAAGAGACGGCUAACUCUGUGCCAGCAGCCGCGGUAAUACAGAGGUCUCAAGCGUUGUUCGGAAUCGCUGGGCGUAAAGGGUGCGUAGGCUGUUUCGUAAGUCGUGUGUGAAAGGCGCGGGCUCAACCCGCGGACGGCACAUGAUACUGCGAGACUAGAGUAAUGGAGGGGGAACCGGAAUGCUCGGUGUAGCAGUGAAAUGCGUAGAGAUCGAGAGGAACACUCGUGGCGAAGGCGGGUUCCUGGACAUUAACUGACGCUGAGGCACGAAGGCCAGGGGAGCGAAAGGGAUUAGAUACCCGAGUAGUC
This 446-nucleotide ribosomal RNA is filed under the name uncultured bacterium. Its description in RNAcentral is "partial 16S ribosomal RNA". It matches the Rfam family "Bacterial small subunit ribosomal RNA", at positions 338 to 795 of the family's 1533-position model. The record is from RNAcentral.